UACUGAUAAUAGCAAACUACGAGAAAUCGUAGGACGCAAAGCUAUGGGUCUAAAGGACGCCUGACCCGCACCCUUAAAAGUACGAGCCAGACGCCCACAAAUUGGCUUAAGGGGUGUCCAAUGACCGCCAGGCUGCCAGU
This 140-nucleotide non-coding RNA is filed under the name Elusimicrobiota bacterium. RNAcentral's name for it is "Elusimicrobia bacterium c-di-GMP sequence". It matches the Rfam family "c-di-GMP-I riboswitch aptamer". Rfam says of the family: GEMM was predicted in a large-scale screen for bacterial structured RNA regulatory elements. Genes associated with GEMM are involved in a diverse array of functions, including chemotaxis regulation, signal transduction, secretion and chitin. Lineage: Bacteria; Pseudomonadati; Elusimicrobiota. The record is from RNAcentral.